RNAcentral lists this ribosomal RNA (460 nucleotides) under uncultured bacterium. RNAcentral's name for it is "partial 16S ribosomal RNA". It matches the Rfam family "Bacterial small subunit ribosomal RNA", at positions 338 to 795 of the family's 1533-position model. The record is from RNAcentral.
CCUACGGGAGGCAGCAGUGAGGAAUAUUGGUCAAUGGACGAGAGUCUGAACCAGCCAAGUAGCGUGAAGGAUGACUGCCCUAUGGGUUGUAAACUUCUUUUAUAUGGGAAUAAAACGUUCCACGUGUGGGAUUUUGUAUGUACCAUAUGAAUAAGGAUCGGCUAACUCCGUGCCAGCAGCCGCGGUAAUACGGAGGAUACGAGCGUUAUCCGGAUUUAUUGGGUUUAAAGGGAGCGUAGGUGGAUUGGUAAGUCAGUUGUGAAAGUUUGCGGCUCAACCGUAAAAUUGCAGUUGAAACUGGCAGUCUUGAGUACAGUAGAGGUGGGCGGAAUUCGUGGUGUAGCGGUGAAAUGCUUAGAUAUCACGAAGAACUCCGAUUGCGAAGGCAGUUCACUGGACUGCAACUGACACUGAGGCUCGAAAGUGUGGGUAUCAAACAGGAUUAGAUACCCUAGUAGUC